CACCGCGGUUAUACGAGAGGCCCAAGCUGACAGUUGCCGGCGUAAAGAGUGGUUAAUACCCCCACGACACUAAAGCCGAACAUCUCCAAAGUUGUACAACGCACUCGAAGAUAUGAAGACCAACCACGAAAGUGACUUUACACUCUUUGAACCCACGAAAGCUAGGGAA
RNAcentral lists this ribosomal RNA (169 nucleotides) under Ostorhinchus fukuii. RNAcentral's name for it is "partial 12S rRNA". The record is from RNAcentral. Lineage: Eukaryota; Metazoa; Chordata; Actinopteri; Kurtiformes; Apogonidae.